UACGUAGGGUGCAAGCGUUGUCCGGAAUUAUUGGGCGUAAAGAGCUCGUAGGCGGUUUGUCGCGUCUGCCGUGAAAGUCCGGGGCUCAACUCCGGAUCUGCGGUGGGUACGGGCAGACUAGAGUGAUGUAGGGGAGACUGGAAUUCCUGCUGUAGCGGUGAAAUGCGCAGAUAUCAGGAGGAACACCGGUGGCGAAGGCGGGUCUCUGGGCCGAUACUGACGCUGAGGAGCGAAAGCGUGGGGAGCGAACAGG
This 253-nucleotide ribosomal RNA is filed under the name uncultured bacterium. RNAcentral's name for it is "partial 16S ribosomal RNA". It matches the Rfam family "Bacterial small subunit ribosomal RNA", at positions 524 to 776 of the family's 1533-position model. The record is from RNAcentral.